AAAUCAAAGUUCUUCAKAAAUUUGCAUAUCAUUCCUUAUUUGGGAAUGUGUACGUUGUGAUCCAACAUGGCGGACGAGAAGACAUCUCAAAGACUAAAAAAACGUCUAUAAUUUAUAUUUUCACAGUGACUUUCACAAGAGAAAGCGAAUUGRAAUAGUCUUCAUUAUGGAUGACGACAAAAGUGAUAGUACAAUGCUGACUAUUGGUGGAACCUAUGGAGAGAUUCCAGAUGAGUUGCCUAAUGAUUCUCCAAGAAC
Molecule: long non-coding RNA, 258 nt
Organism: Exaiptasia diaphana
Lineage: Eukaryota; Metazoa; Cnidaria; Anthozoa; Actiniaria; Aiptasiidae
Exons: 3
Source: RefSeq, a predicted model, not a curated record